Molecule: small nuclear RNA, 103 nt
Filed under: Chinchilla lanigera (long-tailed chinchilla)
Lineage: Eukaryota; Metazoa; Chordata; Mammalia; Rodentia; Chinchillidae
Source: RNAcentral
GUAUAAGUUUGACAGCACAUAGGCAAAUAUUAGAAUGAUACAAAGUUCAUCAUGGCCCUUGCCCAAAGAUAAUAUGGAAAUUUGUGAAGUAUUCAAUACUUUU